UAGGGCGGCGGCUUAGUCGCAUGCAGUCGCAGCGGAUGAGGGAGCUUGUCUCCUGGAUUCAGCGGCGGACGGGUGAGUAAUGCCUAGGAAUCUGCCUGGUAGUGGGGGAUAACGUCCGGAAACGGGCGCUAUACCGCAUACGUCCCUGAGGGAGAAAGUGGGGGAUCUUUCGGACCUCACGCCUAUCAGAUGAGCCUAGGUCGGAUUUAGCUAGUUGGUGGGGGUAAGGGCCUAACCAAGGGCGGACGAUCCGUUAACUGGUCUUGAGAGGAUGAUCAGUCACACGUGGCCACUUGAGACACGGUCCAGACUCCUACUUGCAGCCAACUAUUGGCGCAUAUUCGUACAAUAGACGAAGCUGGAUCAGUCAUGCCUGGGUCGAGAGGGCCUCGAAAUGGACACUAAUUGCGAAGCGGAGUAACUGGAUUUGGGGG
Molecule: ribosomal RNA, 434 nt
Filed under: Pseudomonas aeruginosa
Lineage: Bacteria; Pseudomonadati; Pseudomonadota; Gammaproteobacteria; Pseudomonadales; Pseudomonadaceae
Description: bacterial SSU rRNA
Rfam family: Bacterial small subunit ribosomal RNA (bases 25-326)
Source: RNAcentral